Non-coding RNA from Toxotes jaculatrix (banded archerfish), 525 nucleotides. NCBI's taxonomy places the organism in Eukaryota, Metazoa, Chordata, Actinopteri, Toxotidae. The record is from the annotation of a RefSeq genome assembly.
AUAACUGCUGCUGUGAAGAGAAGAAUUGUCAGACUCAGUGUUGAACAUCAGCUACUUUCUCCUGUUGCUUUAAACCUUCUUGUAGAGAUGGAACAUUGGCUGUGGAUGAUUCUUGCUGCUCUUUUCUUUGAGUGUAAAGGAGAAGACAGAGUGAUCCAGGAAACAGGAGAUGUCAUUGCUGCUGAAGGAGAGACAGUAACACUCCCCUGUACAUAUGAAACCAGUUACUCAGGUCCAACUCUGUUCUGGUACAAACAAGAAGCAAAUGAUUUUCCAAAGCUUCUGCUGCAGCGUGUCUCAACAACAGCAGGUAAUCCUGCAGAAAAACAGAAAGAGAGAAUCGAUGCUGUGGCCAACAAGACAUCAGUUCCUCUGGAGAUCCAGAAGCUUCAGCUGUCUGACUCUGCUGUGUACUACUGUGCUCUGCAGCCCACAGUGACAGGAAACAGCACAACUCUGUACAAAAACCUUUGGAGCAAAGACAACAGAAUACUCCACAACAUCCACUAGAGGGAGUCACACACU